AGUGAACGCUGGCGGCAGGCCUAACACAUGCAAGUCGAACGGCAGCACAGUAAGAGCUUGCUCUUACGGGUGGCGAGUGGCGGACGGGUGAGGAAUACAUCGGAAUCUACUUUUUCGUGGGGGAUAACGUAGGGAAACUUACGCUAAUACCGCAUACGACCUACGGGUGAAAGCAGGGGAUCUUCGGACCUUGCGCGAUUGAAUGAGCCGAUGUCGGAUUAGCUAGUUGGCGGGGUAAAGGCCCACCAAGGCGACGAUCCGUAGCUGGUCUGAGAGGAUGAUCAGCCACACUGGAACUGAGACACGGUCCAGACUCCUACGGGGGGCAGCAGUGGGGAAUAUUGGACAAUGGGCGCAAGCCUGAUCCAGCCAUACCGCGUGGGUGAAGAAGGCCUUCGGGUUGUAAAGCCCUUUUGUUGGGAAAGAAAAGCAGCAGGUUAAUACCCCGCUGUUCUGACGGUACCCAAAGAAUAAGCACCGGCUAACUUCGUG
This 492-nucleotide ribosomal RNA is filed under the name uncultured bacterium. RNAcentral describes it as "partial 16S ribosomal RNA". It matches the Rfam family "Bacterial small subunit ribosomal RNA", at positions 29 to 507 of the family's 1533-position model. The record is from RNAcentral.